GGGUAGGGAUACCCGCUGAACUUAAGCAUAUCAAUAAGCGGAGGAAAAGAAACCAACAGGGAUUGCCUCAGUAACGGCGAGUGAAGCGGCAAAAGCUCAGAUUUGAAAGCUCACACCUUUGGUGUUUGCAUUGUAAUCUGUAGAGGAGUGUUCAAGUAUAGCUCUGACCCAAGUUCUUUGGAACAAGGCAUCAUGGAGGGUGAGAAUCCUGUUCAUGGUCGUUGUCUUAUGCUUGUGUGAACCUCCUUCAAUGAGUCGAGUUGUUUGGGAAUGCAGCUCUAAAUGGGUGGUAUAUUUCAUCUAAAGCUAAAUAUUAGCAGGAGACCGAUAGCGCACAAGUAGAGUGAUCGAAAGAUGAAAAGCACUUUGGAAAGAGAGUCAAACAGUACGUGAAAUUGUUGAAAGGGAAGCACUUGCACCCAGACUUGCUUACAGUUGAUCAAUUGUCAUUUUUGAUAGUGCACUUAAUUGUAUGCAGGCCAGCAUCAGUUAGAGUGGUGGGGCAAAGGUGUAGAGAAUGUAGCUCCUCUGGGAGUAUUAUAGCUCUACAUGUCAUGUCACCUGCUCUGACUGAGGGUCGCACUUUGGUGAGGAUGCUGGCUUAAUGGGUGCAAGUGACCCGUCUUGAAACACGGACCAAGGAGUCUNACAGUUGUGCAAGUGUUUGGGUAAAAAACCCUUACGCGCAAUGAAAGUGAAUGAAGGUGAGAACUGUAAAAGGUGCAUCAUCGACCGAUCCUGAUGUCUUCAGAUGGAUNUGAGUAAGAGCAUGGCUGUUGGGACCCGAAAGAUGGUGAACUAUNCCUGAAUAGGGUGAAGCCAGAGGAAACUCUGGUNGANGCUCGCAGCGGNUCNG
RNAcentral lists this ribosomal RNA (856 nucleotides) under Hydnobolites sp. MIN 925603. RNAcentral's name for it is "eukaryotic LSU rRNA". It matches the Rfam family "Eukaryotic large subunit ribosomal RNA", at positions 14 to 888 of the family's 3401-position model. Lineage: Eukaryota; Fungi; Ascomycota; Pezizomycetes; Pezizales; Pezizaceae. The record is from RNAcentral.